Molecule: long non-coding RNA, 18395 nt
Filed under: Brassica napus (rape)
Lineage: Eukaryota; Viridiplantae; Streptophyta; Magnoliopsida; Brassicales; Brassicaceae
Description: long non-coding RNA (BNAP_LNC000719)
Source: RNAcentral
GCUCACUAAACUCAGGAAUCAAGGAAUAAGGCUUCAUUUCAUUAUUAACACCACCUCCUUCCUUAAGCAAUCAAACGAAUCAUCAAACGAAAAGUUGAAGACAUUUUUCUGCUCCGCAAAGACGAAAACAAACAGCUUCUGUUGGAAUCAACUACAAUGGGGAUUGUUGUCAUGUUUUCAAGGAUCACUUAUCCGCUGGUUUGUUCCCGUUAAUCUCUUUUUUUAUUGAUUAAUCAUUCUCUAUUGGAUCUUGAUCAGUGUGGGGCUGUGCAGAUGAGCGACUGAAAGAGUCGAGGAACAUCAUUUUAAAAUAUCAAGAUAGAGUUCCGGUUAGUUAAAGUUCAUGCCUAGAUCAUUGUGUCGUGGUGAUUCGGUCUCAAUUGUCUUUUGUGGUCUCCAGUUUUGUUUCUAUGAUCUGAUACACUUUGGUCACUUCUUAGGGACUACCUCUUUUCUUUCUUUUCUUAAUUGUUGGAAUCAAAUAAAAUAAAAUAAAAACUAUUUUUUUUACCUAUACAAUUUAAAGAAUUUGCAAAUAUAAUUAAUCCGAAUAAAAGAAUUGACGAUAACCUAGCCUAAUGAUUGAGUCAACAUUUAUCUUUUAUUUUUCUUAAUCGAAGUAUUUUGUUACUCAAACGGUCUCUAAAAUAUUUGACUUUUUGGUAUUUUAUCGUUUCUUUCUUCAUCAAAUUCCAAGAUUAUACGAAUGAAAUAUUUAUAAAAAAUAAAAGUCGGUAUUGGAUUUACAUUUUGUUAUAAUGAAUAAACCAUUAUUUUUGCAUUAUUCAAAUUAGUAAUUUAAAAAAAGCUAAUGAAUUUAAGAAAUAUAUAUAUAUAUAUAUAAGAGAAAAAUAUUUUUUUUUGAAAACAAUCAAUACUAUUUUUCUAAAAAACAAUCAACACUAUUAUGAUGUUUUCAUUGAGUCACAUAUAAAAGAAAUUUAUAUUCUAUACCAUCAAAUUCAACACGCAUUUUAUAUCAAAUAAUUUAAUUAAGUAGAUAAAGUUAUUUGUUUAGACAACAGAAACAAUUAUUUUAAACAUGCAAAAUAUAUCUUAUCACAUAUAAUUCUUCCUCACUUAAAACUUUUUAAAAUAUGAAAAUCAUUAUUAUACAUAUUUCUUGCAAAUGCAAACCUAAAACAUAAACCACAAAUCAUACAAAAAAAUAAUAACUUAUAUCACAAAUAAAAUAUAUUCCGCUCGUAGGGCGGGCCGACCCUAGUUUUUAUUAUUUAUAAGUAAUAACUAAAAUAAAAUUCACAUAAAACGAAUCACUUAUAUAAUAUAUAGACUAAUAUUUAAAUAUAUUAUUGUACAGCUAUUUUCAUAUAAAUAAUAUUUCAGUGCAAAUGCAGUAUGAUAAAUGUUGAAAAGUAGAAAAUAAAUAGCACCAUAUAUUUUAAAUAGUAUAUACAACAAUUUAUUAUAUAUUAUCAUAAAAUUUUGAUCUAUAGAAAAUAAAAAUACAUUUGUGCGGAUAUACAGGUCAUAUUUUUAAAAUAUGGAUGAUACAACUGAUGGUUUACAAGAUAAAAUAAAAUUACGCAAUAUAAACUAUAAAAUUAUUGUGUUCAUAAAUGUCAGAUUAAACAAUUAUUUAAACAGAUAAAUUUUAAAAUAUAUAUUAUCACUUAUACAAAUAAAUAUUUAUUUAUAAAACAAAUACAAAAAACUUUCUAGCGGGUGCGCAGAUCAAACUCUAGUAUUAUAUUUAAAUCAUAUGAAAUUUUCUUUCACUAAAGCAUCUCCAAAGGAAACUCUAUAACUUCAAAAAUAGAUUUUUUUUGCUAUCCAAAAAGGAACUUCAAAACUUCAAAUUGAGUUUUAAGAAGUGAAACUUCAUAUUUGAAGUUUACUACUCAAAACUCUAAAUUUGAAGUUUCCUCUUUUUAAUUGCAUUUUGGUCUUUAUAAUUAAUUAAACAUCACAUUUAUGAUUAUUAACUAUUUUCUCAUUUAUCAUUUUAAUCUUUAAAACUUUUGUAUAUCAUAAAUAUUUCAAAUUUAUUAUUAUAAAUUCAAAUUUUACACAUAAAAUUAAAUAAAAUUUUUAAAAUAUGAUUUAUAAUAUUUAAAACUGGAAUUAGACAACAAUAAUAUUACAAAAAAAACUUAAUAAAAACGUGUUAAAAAUAUAUUUAAAGACAUAAUUACUAUACAAAUUUAAAUAUUACAACAAUACAAAUAGUCUAGUAAAAUUUCUCUUGAACCUCUAAAAUAUUGUCCAAACAAAUUUUGUGUGACAAAGAUUGAGCAUUACAGAAUUAAUUUAAUAGAAUAAUAUGGUAUUUUACUUGUAGUUUAAUAUUUAAUUAGAAUUUCUAUUAAUUAUUUUAUAUUUUAGUGUAAUAUUUUAUAAAACAAUAUUACUGUAAUAUUUUUAUAUAUGUGCUAGUUAUUUAUAAAACAAUUAUGGUUUUAUAUUAAUUAUGACAAAUAUAAAGACUAUAGUGUAAAUUACAAAUAAUUUUGAAAUUAGAUUUGAAGUUUUAUUUUUGGAAAAAAUAGCUUAAAACUUCAAAUAUAAAGUUUUGUAAACUGUAAAAUAGAGUCUUUUUGGAGAUGCUUCAAGUGUAAACAUGCAUUUCUUUCACCUCUUCUCUAUUUCAUCUCUAAUUGUAUCCAUCAUUUUCCCAGCAUGGAUGGAGAUUCUACCGCUUCCGAAUAUUCAUUUAACGAAGUUUUUAAUGUAAAUCAAACCGGUUCUAAACCAGUAAAUAUAUAUAUAUANNNNNNNNNNNNNNNNNNNNNNNNNNNNNNNNNNNNNNNNNNNNNNNNNNNNNNNNNNNNNNNNNNNNNNNNNNNNNNNNNNNNNNNNNNNNNNNNNNNNNNNNNNNNNNNNNNNNNNNNNNNNNNNNNNNNNNNNNNNNNNNNNNNNNNNNNNNNNNNNNNNNNNNNNNNNNNNNNNNNNNNNNNNNNNNNNNNNNNNNNNNNNNNNNNNNNNNNNNNNNNNNNNNNNNNNNNNNNNNNNNNNNNNNNNNNNNNNNNNNNNNNNNNNNNNNNNNNNNNNNNNNNNNNNNNNNNNNNNNNNNNNNNNNNNNNNNNNNNNNNNNNNNNNNNNNNNNNNNNNNNNNNNNNNNNNNNNNNNNNNNNNNNNNNNNNNNNNNNNNNNNNNNNNNNNNNNNNNNNNNNNNNNNNNNNNNNNNNNNNNNNNNNNNNNNNNNNNNNNNNNNNNNNNNNNNNNNNNNNNNNNNNNNNNNNNNNNNNNNNNNNNNNNNNNNNNNNNNNNNNNNNNNNNNNNNNNUUUUGAAUCAAAUCAUGUAUAUUAAUCUCCUCGCUAACAUAUAAAUUCGAAGAUGUGAUUUUGAGGUACAUUUGUUGUGGAAAGACCCUUAAUUCGCCAAUAGAACCAUACAUACACUGGGUUUUAACCCUAAACCGAUCUUAUUCUUAAAUAUCCACUAUUUUGUGACAAGAAAGUUUAAAUAAUAUUUAAUUGUUCUUGUCACAAAAAUAACCAAAAGAAGUUUUAUUAAAGAGUUAAAAUGCAUUUAUACUUUAUGGUUAACUAAUAUCUAGACUUAGGGUUUAGAGUUAAAGGUUGGAGUUUUGAGGAUAGGAUUUCAUAUUUAAAAAAAUAAAAAAAAUAAAAAUUAAAAUUUUCAAAAUAAAAAGAGGCUAUUUUGGUCAUUUUCUUUAUUGAAGGCUAUUUUUGUGACAAAAACUUAAAAAAUACUAUUUGAGAGCAUUGCCCUAUAUAUAUUGUAUCUGUGUGCAUAUUUUUUUCGAUUCCAAUAAUAUUUUGGUUAAAUCAAACCUAUUGUUAUCUCGCAAAUUCACCUUUGCUACAAUUCCAAUUUCCUCAAAAUUGUUAAUGGAACUCUAUAAAAACUAAACAUGGCAUAUAACACAUUUGAAAUAUAACAUUAUACAAUUAAGAGCCAUAACAUUAGAUUUGAGUUGAAAACUCACAAAACAACAUCAUGGCCAAUCCCAAAGCAAAGAGUUUAGAAAAACAUAUAUACUAUACAAAUACACACAUCCAAAGAUAACAUGAAACAUGUUUGUUCAAAAAAAAAACAUGAAACAUGAUAUUAAAAGGGAAGACAUGAGGUGCAUAUAUAGAUAAAAAUGUCUGAGAAGAGACAAUCAAGGAUACAUAAAAGACAAAGAGAGGCUUUUUUUUUUUUUUGAACAAGAGACAAAGAGAGGCUGAAAGAAGGCACUUAUGCAAAUGUAAAAAGGUUCAAAUACAACAAAAAUGUACAUACACUCGUGUUUACUCGGGAAGAUCUUCGUUUAUAAUCUAAUUAAUAGUUUAAUACUAAUGUAACUAGGUUAAUAUCCACGCCUUGCACGGAAUGACAUUAUAUAUAUAAAUUAUUUUAUAUAUUAUAUGUUUAUAACAUAUUAUGAAAUAAUAAAUAUAUAUUGAAUAAAAAAGUAAUUAUCUACUACUUAUAUAAUUAAAUUGGUGCGAACAUAUAAAUAAAUUUUAUAAAUCGAAAAAAUAUUUUUUCUAUUUGAUAUGAUAUAUAAUUAAAUUUAAAUAAUAGUAACAUAUAUGAUAUAUUUUAAUAUCAAAUUACCAUGUCUACAUUAUUGGACUUUUGGCACCAAUCUUUUAGGAUUCACACAUUGCGACCACUGCAUAUCUAUCUUAUUAAAACUCAAGUACAAAAUUGGAGUGUUUGGAAACUUGAAUAGGACUAUUAAAAAAUUUGGAGUGUUUGGAAACAUGGAUUGCAGUCUUUUAAAAAAAAAAAAUUUUGUUUGAAAACAAGGAUAGUAAUAUUAAGAAAAAAAGUAAUGGGCUUAUGUUUUUUUAAAAAAUUGAAAAUUAUCUAGGCCACUUUUAAAAUAUACCAAAAUGGGUCAAUCUAAUUCCCUAAAAAUUUUUUUUCUAAACUAACCAUAAAACAAAAUUUAAACUUUAUAUACAUAUUUCAAAUCAAAAUAAUAAUUCAAAUUUGAUUUAUAUCAAAAAUUGAUUCAAAAAUAUACAUAUAUUCAAAAAUGGAUUUUUACUAAACUAUUUUUCAAUAACCAUUAUAAAAAAAUAUUGUCAACAUAUAUAAGAAAAAUAUAAUACAAAGCCCAAUUUGAAAUACCAACUCAAAUUAUGGUUUUCAUAUUUCAUAUUAAGUUUUAAAAAUAUAAUAUAUGUAAUUAUUUAUAUGAUGGUAUGUAUAAAAUACUAUUAAUUAUAUGAUUACUUAUAUGAUGGUACAUAUAAAAUACGAUUAAUUAUAUGAUGAUAAAAUACGAUAUAUAAUAAUGACUAGGGAUGGGCUUUUGGAUACCCAUACGGGUUUAGUUAUGAUCGGUUUGUAUUUUGGGUUUUCGGGGUCAAAGAUUUCAGCCUUAUUAGAAUGUUUCUAAAUUUUGGUUUGAGUUCGAUUUGGAUCUUUGCGGGUUUGGUUUGGGUUUGGAUAACUAAUUUAAAUUAUUUUUAAAGUCUUAAAUCAUUAUAUAUUUUAAAUUUCUCAAAAUGUAUAAAUAAAAUAAUAUAUUACGUAUAAAUUUGAAUAACAUAUGUCAUAAUACUUAAGCUUAACAUAUCAAUUGGCUUGAUUUAAAAUUUUGGAUACGAAAUCAAUAAUUAUUUUAAGUAUUUUUGGUGAUUUGAGUAUACUUUAACUAUUUCAGAUAUUUACUUUUGACUAUCUAUAUAUAUUUUCAAGUAUUUAAACCAAUUUAAAAGUAUCAUUUUUGAUGUUUUAUAUACGUUAAAUCUAAAAAUAAUUAAUAUAUAUAAGUAUAUAAAUCUAUUUUUAGAUAAAUUCGGAUACCCAAAUACUUCGGUUCGGAUCAGAUUCGGUUCUCUAAAUAACAAAAUUUUGAAUAAUUAGAAUAUUUAAUCAAUUUAUGUUCGGGUUUGAUACUAUAUUUUUGGAUCGGUAUCGGUUAUGUUCCUCGGAUUCAUUUUUCCAAAUCCUAAUAAUUACAUGAAAAAGAAAUAUCAACAUAUUUUUCAAAAUAUACAUCCGCGCGCCUGCGCGGGUCCAAAUCUAGUUCUGUUUAAAACCCACUAAUGUUAACCCGCGUGGAUCUUACAAUGCAACUAGUUAUCAAUGAGAGAAUGAGAAACCCAACAGAACAAAAUUUAAUUUCAAGUAAACACUCUACUCUAUUUAAGUCUUAUGAAAAUAAUUUAUUGGUCAGAGAACUAUGAUUUGAUUUCUAUUGAUGCAUAUAGAGUUUUGUGUACUUGUACAUUGCUCACGUAUAAAAUAUAUUCUUUGUAUAAUCGUUUAUAUCAUACUAGUUCAUACUAUAUACAUGAACAAUGUACAAGCAAUAUACCACUAUAUGAACUCAAUUUUUACAUAGAAAAUACUGGUGACAGUAGAUAACUAAUUAAAUAAUGGUAUAUAAAAAAUAUUAAUAAUAGAAUGGAAGAAAUUAUAAACAGUUUAACUAAUAGAUUCAAAUAAAUUGACUGAGACAUGCCACUUCAACCAAAAGAUUUACUUUUUGUUCGAUGGACUUAAUCAUAUCAAUGCAAUAGAUAGACAAUAUUAUUCUCUCAGAAACAAAAAUUAUUUACUAAGAAAACUGGAUCAAACAAAUAAGUUUUAAACUGCUAUUUAUGAAAAAUAAUUAAAAUUAUAAAAAUCAUAUUUAAAAUAUAAUUACAUAAAUAAAAUAAUAUAUAUUUAUCUUAAUAACUAUAAUAUCAAGUAUAUAUAUACUCUGCAGGCUGCAUCAACAUACAUACUUUCAGAUGGGGUUAGGGUCGUAUACGACCUUAUAGAGUCUACGUACCUCAACAAUUAGGUGAUCUUUUGAAUCUGGUGGUCGUAGUAGCUGGUUUUCAUAAUACUCGGUGUAUAACAUCCAAAAACGUUAGGGAAAGUUGCAUUUCAGUUAUUACAUUUUCCUUGCAAAUAUUCAUUUGAUUACUACUUGAAGUUAUGUCAAUGAGCUAAGUAAAGAAUUGGAGUUCCCAAGUAAUAUGUUUAUGAAGCUGAGCCGACAUAGAGAUGAGGCCACCAACGCAAGUGCUGUCUUAGAUCACGACCGUCUCAUUUUCCAACGCGAUCAAUCUCCCCACAAAACCAAAAAUGUUCAUCAACUCUUGAUUCUAUGCUUCAUCUCUCUCAUUCUCUCUCCAUAUAUUUUUUUUUUUUUGUAAUUCACUGUCAGACAUUAAAGGAGACAAACUUUUAUCCUUGAUUCCCGAUCUUGUCCAUUUUAUUUGAUCCUUUCCAUACUCUGUCUGUCUAAUGGACUGUUUCAUUUGCUGAUCCUUUCAGGCUUGUGGAAUUAUAACUCAAACUAAUUAUCAAACCAAAACAUUAAUUAUAUGCUAACAAUACAACAUUGAACCUAAACAUCUUAUUAAUCAAGUUAAACCGAUCAAUGAUCUUAAAUUCUUAACCAAAGGACUCAAAACACUAUGUGAUAUGUAUUUUACGUUAGCCAUAAUAAGUUUUUUUCUUAAACAUAAAAAAGAAAACUGCAAUUUUUUAUUACUUUAUAAUGUUAUACUACAUAGUUUUCGCUUUUUUAUCGUUGUAUAAAAUGUAAAGACAAUUAAAUUUUUUUAAUUCUUCGUCUUUGAAUAUCCAAAUUUUUAUUCCUAAAACCUCAUAAAUAGUUCGAUCUGUAUAUGAACAAUACUUAAUUUUGGUUACCAAUUUUAUGGUAAAAAGAGGAAGACCAAUGUGAUCUAAUUGUAAGCAAUUAGUUUUUGAAUGAUUGUUCUAUUAGAAUACUUGUAUAUAUCUUAUUUAAGACUGAUCCUUUUUAUUAACCACAUAUUUUAGGCCUUAGUUUUACUGAAUUUUUUUGAAUCAAAUCAUGUAUAUUAAUCUCCUCGCUAACAUAUAAAUUCGAAGAUGUGAUUUUGAGGUACAUUUGUUGUGGAAAGACCCUUAAUUCGCCAAUAGAACCAUACAUACACUGGGUUUUAACCCUAAACCGAUCUUAUUCUUAAAUAUCCACUAUUUUGUGACAAGAAAGUUUAAAUAAUAUUUAAUUGCUAAAGCUUAUGCUUAUAAAGAUUUAAUACUUGACUUUAUUUUAUUAAAUUCAUGCGUGAACUUCGAGUCCCAAGAUAGUAAGUCUCAUUUCCCUUCUUCGAACUUUCUCUUUGUUUCCUUCCUCCUUACCAUCUUCUCGUACCCAUUUCCUAUAAAAUAUGAUAUGCUAUUUCCACCGCUUUAUCACAUCGCAAACAUGUGGUGUAUACACUCAUAAACACCCACGCAUUAAUAUAAACAUGCAUAUCUAGCUCUCUUUCCUCUCAUAAAACAAACUAUCAACUUGAUAUCGUUCCCUUUCUUAUUUUCUCUGUCUUCUCCUCUAAGUAAUGUCUGAUCCAGCUUGUAUCUUCAGCAAUGGAUUUCUUGAUAACUAUGACUAUAGCUUCAACUAUUCCACUUCUCUCUCACACAUCUACAACUCUAAUGACAGCUUCUACUCUAGCAAUACCACAAACAUAAACCCUAAUUCUACAUCACCUGACUCUCCUCCACUUAGAGAAGCUCUUCCUCUCCUUAGCUUAAGCCCCAUUCAUAAGCAUCAAGAAGCUAGUGUUCCUCACCAUGAAUAUUAUUUCAUGGAGACGAUUAAACAAUCUUCUAAUUCAAACCUUCUUGAUCAUGAUCUUGGUCAGUGCCAAGAAACUCAGCAUCAUGAUGUGACAGUGGAUCUUCAUCUAGGGUUACCAAAUCUCGGUGGCGACACUAUUGCCUGCGGUGGUGGUGGGAGCAGCAGCAGCGACGCCAUACUUGAUUCUACAGACCAAGAGCAUCAUCAUGAUUUUCAUCAAGAUCGUCAUCAAUAUCAAGAAGUAGAAGUUACACUUGUUUCCGAUCAUGAUGGGCAUGGUGGUGUACAAAGGGGUAUUCAUCAUCAGUAUUGGAUCCCUACUCCUUCUCAGAUUCUGAUGGGUCCUACGCAGUUCUCAUUUAAUAAAAAACUAAUUAUAUAUUUAGAUGGACCAACCUAUUUCUCUAAGGAUUCUAAGAAUCAUUCUAGUGAUGACAUGUGGCUACAAAAAAAUGUUGCAAUGCUUCUCAAAUAAUAUAUAGGGGAUAAUAUCAAAUUACCAUGUCUACAUUAUUGGACUUUUGGCACCAAUCUUUUAGGAUUCACACAUUGCGACCACUGCAUAUCUAUCUUAUUAAAACUCAAGUACAAAAUUGGAGUGUUUGGAAACUUGAAUAGGACUAUUAAAAAAUUUGGAGUGUUUGGAAACAUGGAUUGCAGUCUUUUAAAAAAAAAAAAUUUUGUUUGAAAACAAGGAUAGUAAUAUUAAGAAAAAAAGUAAUGGGCUUAUGUUUUUUUAAAAAAUUGAAAGUUAUCUAGGCCACUUUUAAAAUAUACCAAAAUGGGUCAAUCUAAUUCCCUAAAAUUUUUUUUUCUAAACUAACCAUAAAACAAAAUUUAAACUUUAUAUACAUAUUUCAAAUCAAAAUAAUAAUUCAAAUUUGAUUUAUAUCAAAAAUUGAUUCAAAAAUAUACAUAUAUUCAAAAAUGGAUUUUUACUAAACUAUUUUUCAAUAACCAUUAUAAAAAAAUAUUGUCAAUAUAUAUAAGAAAAAUAUAAUACAAAGCCCAAUUUGAAAUACCAACUCAAAUUAUGGUUUUCAUAUUUCAUAUUAAGUUUUAAAAAUAUAAUAUAUGUAAUUAUUUAUAUGAUGGUAUGUAUAAAAUACUAUUAAUUAUAUGAUUACUUAUAUGAUGGUACAUAUAAAAUACGAUUAAUUAUAUGAUGAUAAAAUACGAUAUAUAAUAAUGACUAGGGAUGGGCUUUUGGAUACCCAUACGGGUUUAGUUCUGAUCGGUUUGUAUUUUGGGUUUUCGGGGUCAAAGAUUUCAGCCUUAUUAGAAUGUUUCUAAAUUUUGGUUUGAGUUCGAUUUGGAUCUUUGCGGGUUUGGUUUGGGUUUGGAUAACUAAUUUAAAUUAUUUUUAAAGUCUUAAAUCAUUAUAUAUUUUAAAUUUCUCAAAAUGUAUAAAUAAAAUAAUAUAUUACGUAUAAAUUUGAAUAACAUAUGUCAUAAUACUUAAGCUUAACAUAUCAAUUGGCUUGAUUUAAAAUUUUGGAUACGAAAUCAAUAAUUAUUUUAAGUAUUUUUGGUGAUUUGAGUAUACUUUAACUAUUUCAGAUAUUUACUUUUGACUAUCUAUAUAUAUUUUCAAGUAUUUAAACCAAUUUAAAAGUAUCAUUUUUGAUGUUUUAUAUACGUUAAAUCUAAAAAUAAUUAAUAUAUAUAAGUAUAUAAAUCUAUUUUUAGAUAAAUUCGGAUACCCAAAUACUUCGGUUCGGAUCAGAUUCGGUUCUCUAAAUAACAAAAUUUUGAAUAAUUAGAAUAUUUAAUCAAUUUAUGUUCGGGUUUGAUACUAUAUUUUUGGAUCGGUAUCGGUUAUGUUCCUCGGAUUCAUUUUUCCAAAUCCUAAUAAUUACAUGAAAAAGAAAUAUCAACAUAUUUUUCAAAAUAUACAUCCGCGCGCCUGCGCGGGUCCAAAUCUAGUUCUGUUUAAAACCCACUAAUGUUAACCCGCGUGGAUCUUACAAUGCAACUAGUUAUCAAUGAGAGAAUGAGAAACCCAACAGAACAAAAUUUAAUUUCAAGUAAACACUCUACUCUAUUUAAGUCUUAUGAAAAUAAUUUAUUGGUCAGAGAACUAUGAUUUGAUUUCUAUUGAUGCAUAUAGAGUUUUGUGUACUUGUACAUUGCUCACGUAUAAAAUAUAUUCUUUGUAUAAUCGUUUAUAUCAUACUAGUUCAUACUAUAUACAUGAACAAUGUACAAGCAAUAUACCACUAUAUGAACUCAAUUUUUACAUAGAAAAUACUGGUGACAGUAGAUAACUAAUUAAAUAAUGGUAUAUAAAAAAUAUUAAUAAUAGAAUGGAAGAAAUUAUAAACAGUUUAACUAAUAGAUUCAAAUAAAUUGACUGAGACAUGCCACUUCAACCAAAAGAUUUACUUUUUGUUCGAUGGACUUAAUCAUAUCAAUGCAAUAGAUAGACAAUAUUAUUCUCUCAGAAACAAAAAUUAUUUACUAAGAAAACUGGAUCAAACAAAUAAGUUUUAAACUGCUAUUUAUGAAAAAUAAUUAAAAUUAUAAAAAUCAUAUUUAAAAUAUAAUUACAUAAAUAAAAUAAUAUAUAUUUAUCUUAAUAACUAUAAUAUCAAGUAUAUAUAUACUCUGCAGGCUGCAUCAACAUACAUACUUUCAGAUGGGGUUAGGGUCGUAUACGACCUUAUAGAGUCUACGUACCUCAACAAUUAGGUGAUCUUUUGAAUCUGGUGGUCGUAGUAGCUGGUUUUCAUAAUACUCGGUGUAUAACAUCCAAAAACGUUAGGGAAAGUUGCAUUUCAGUUAUUACAUUUUCCUUGCAAAUAUUCAUUUGAUUACUACUUGAAGUUAUGUCAAUGAGCUAAGUAAAGAAUUGGAGUUCCCAAGUAAUAUGUUUAUGAAGCUGAGCCGACAUAGAGAUGAGGCCACCAACGCAAGUGCUGUCUUAGAUCACGACCGUCUCAUUUUCCAACGCGAUCAAUCUCCCCACAAAACCAAAAAUGUUCAUCAACUCUUGAUUCUAUGCUUCAUCUCUCUCAUUCUCUCUCCAUAUAUUUUUUUUUUUUUGUAAUUCACUGUCAGACAUUAAAGGAGACAAACUUUUAUCCUUGAUUCCCGAUCUUGUCCAUUUUAUUUGAUCCUUUCCAUACUCUGUCUGUCUAAUGGACUGUUUCAUUUGCUGAUCCUUUCAGGCUUGUGGAAUUAUAACUCAAACUAAUUAUCAAACCAAAACAUUAAUUAUAUGCUAACAAUACAACAUUGAACCUAAACAUCUUAUUAAUCAAGUUAAACCGAUCAAUGAUCUUAAAUUCUUAACCAAAGGACUCAAAACACUAUGUGAUAUGUAUUUUACGUUAGCCAUAAUAAGUUUUUUUCUUAAACAUAAAAAAGAAAACUGCAAUUUUUUAUUACUUUAUAAUGUUAUACUACAUAGUUUUCGCUUUUUUAUCGUUGUAUAAAAUGUAAAGACAAUUAAAUUUUUUUAAUUCUUCGUCUUUGAAUAUCCAAAUUUUUAUUCCUAAAACCUCAUAAAUAGUUCGAUCUGUAUAUGAACAAUACUUAAUUUUGGUUACCAAUUUUAUGGUAAAAAGAGGAAGACCAAUGUGAUCUAAUUGUAAGCAAUUAGUUUUUGAAUGAUUGUUCUAUUAGAAUACUUGUAUAUAUCUUAUUUAAGACUGAUCCUUUUUAUUAACCACAUAUUUUAGGCCUUAGUUUUACUGAAUUUUUUUGAAUCAAAUCAUGUAUAUUAAUCUCCUCGCUAACAUAUAAAUUCGAAGAUGUGAUUUUGAGGUACAUUUGUUGUGGAAAGACCCUUAAUUCGCCAAUAGAACCAUACAUACACUGGGUUUUAACCCUAAACCGAUCUUAUUCUUAAAUAUCCACUAUUUUGUGACAAGAAAGUUUAAAUAAUAUUUAAUUGCUAAAGCUUAUGCUUAUAAAGAUUUAAUACUUGACUUUAUUUUAUUAAAUUCAUGCGUGAACUUCGAGUCCCAAGAUAGUAAGUCUCAUUUCCCUUCUUCGAACUUUCUCUUUGUUUCCUUCCUCCUUACCAUCUUCUCGUACCCAUUUCCUAUAAAAUAUGAUAUGCUAUUUCCACCGCUUUAUCACAUCGCAAACAUGUGGUGUAUACACUCAUAAACACCCACGCAUUAAUAUAAACAUGCAUAUCUAGCUCUCUUUCCUCUCAUAAAACAAACUAUCAACUUGAUAUCGUUCCCUUUCUUAUUUUCUCUGUCUUCUCCUCUAAGUAAUGUCUGAUCCAGCUUGUAUCUUCAGCAAUGGAUUUCUUGAUAACUAUGACUAUAGCUUCAACUAUUCCACUUCUCUCUCACACAUCUACAACUCUAAUGACAGCUUCUACUCUAGCAAUACCACAAACAUAAACCCUAAUUCUACAUCACCUGACUCUCCUCCACUUAGAGAAGCUCUUCCUCUCCUUAGCUUAAGCCCCAUUCAUAAGCAUCAAGAAGCUAGUGUUCCUCACCAUGAAUAUUAUUUCAUGGAGACGAUUAAACAAUCUUCUAAUUCAAACCUUCUUGAUCAUGAUCUUGGUCAGUGCCAAGAAACUCAGCAUCAUGAUGUGACAGUGGAUCUUCAUCUAGGGUUACCAAAUCUCGGUGGCGACACUAUUGCCUGCGGUGGUGGUGGGAGCAGCAGCAGCGACGCCAUACUUGAUUCUACAGACCAAGAGCAUCAUCAUGAUUUUCAUCAAGAUCGUCAUCAAUAUCAAGAAGUAGAAGUUACACUUGUUUCCGAUCAUGAUGGGCAUGGUGGUGUACAAAGGGGUAUUCAUCAUCAGUAUUGGAUCCCUACUCCUUCUCAGAUUCUGAUGGGUCCUACGCAGUUCUCUUGUCCUCUCUGCUUCAAGACCUUCAACAGAUACAACAACAUGCAGGUAAGGAUAUACUCAUCCAAUAAACCUAACUGUAAUUAGUUCCUGCUUUCCUAGAAUAAUUUUAAAGAUUUGAUUUUUGUUCUUGAAAAACGCAUCUCACUUUAUUUACUUCUUAUUUGGUUAUUCUAAAUAGUGUAAUAUUCUCGUUCUUUUUUCUCAAAUCUUCAUCAUGAGAACAUCUCUAGCACACACUACGACUUUUCAAAAUAACUGUUACUACUAUAAACUCGAGAAUAACGUUUCACUUGAUGGUACAAGUCAUCAGAUGUACGAUACAUUGAUUGAUGGCUAUGAGAAGAUCAACUAAAAGCAAUCAAUGGGUUUAAAAUCAAGAUGAUCUUCUUUAACCAAUAGUCUUUUUAGACUGACUCCUUAUAACCCUAAAAUAUGAUUAAUAUUCCUCUUCCAUUUUUGUUCUUUCUUGAUUUUCGCGCAGUUCUACUACACAACACUCAUUACCCUAAAAAGUAAAAGAAAGUGAGGGAUGUCUUGCAAUUUUUGUUUUUGUUUAUUUAUACCUAUUUAUACAUUUACAUGACAUAGAUUAAUUUACUAUAUAUUUAAUUCCUAUUAAGCAAUCACAGGUGGCUAGAUCUCAAUCUCAUAGACAUUUUUGUGCAGAUAUACACAAGAAAAUACAAUCUGGUAGUACAUGUAUCAGUAUUACUAAUAUGACUACCGUAAAAGCUACAUAAAUUAUACACUGUUGUGUCUAGAAAUAUACGAAUAAACUGAUAAAUAUCUUGAAUUAUAUGAAGUUUGUGCAAGUCCUAAUCUUACCUAUUGCACUGAUCUCUUUGGUCAUUCACAGAUUUACAUUGUGACAGUUCCAUUUCGAGAUUAGUUAAUUAGAUUUGGAGUAACUGAUUUUUUUGUUUGAACAUAAAACCAAAUAAAUAUAUAAGCUGCGUAUAACUUGAAGUAAUUAACGGGUACUAACGUUACACAUGUUUUUAUUUUACCGGAAUUAGAUGCACAUGUGGGGACAUGGCUCACAAUACAGAAAAGGACCGGAGUCACUAAGAGGGACACAACCAACCGCGAUGCUGAGGCUAUCAUGCUACUGUUGCGCACCAGGCUGCAAGAAUAACAUAAACCACCCGAGGGCAAGGCCGCUCAAGGACUUCCGUACGCUUCAGACACAUUACAAGCGGAAACAUGGUGCGAGGCCCUUUGCUUGUCGUAGAUGUGGAAAGGCUUUUGCGGUCAAAGGAGAUUGGAGGACGCACGAGAAGAACUGUGGGAAGCUUUGGUAUUGCUCAUGUGGAUCGGAUUUCAAGCAUAAGAGGUCGCUUAAGGACCAUGUUAAGGCAUUUGGUAAUGGUCAUGUCCCUUGUUUUGGCAAUGAUUGCUUCGGCGAUCAUGAGGACGAGGAGGCUGCUUCUGAUGUCGAACAUCAAGACUGAUGGUGUUUUUCUUUUUGGAUAUUUAUUUUGUGAGAAUAGUAGAAGCCUUUACUUUUCUAAGGUCUUCGUUAAUAUGUUUGUCGAACGUGUCUUAUUUCAUAUAAGUAGUAUAAUUUGCUUUGGUUAUCCUGAGUUAUUUUCCUACUCGUAGAUGUAACGGACUCAAUUUGCUGAAUUCCACGUGCACCAGUACUCUUGUAUAUCAAUCUCUAGAAUUUAGAAUAGAGACUGGUAAAAAUAUACCAAAAAUCAAGUAUUUUGAAAUUAGUCAAAAGUCAAAACUAUGAAAAGUAGCAUUUUUCGUGAUAUUUUUGGUAUCUUAAACUGCCAUUUGACCUGCAAAACCUUUAAGGCAUCAUUAGUCAUUCUUUUUCUCUUACAUAUCACUGUAUCUCUCUAUGUUAAGAAGCUUUAGUUAGUUUUUUUUUUUUUGAAUGAAUGUUAAAUUUUAUUCAUAAAAAAAUGCUUUUUUACGUCAAAUGCAUCCUAAGUUUAAAUAUGUGGACUUUACUUAACUCCUACUCCUCCUUUACUACUCCUAAACUGCAAAAUAUUUACAAUCUUGUGGCAAACCAAUACUGCAAAAUGCCAUCUUGUAACUUCAUCAAGCUGAGUUUGUUUCGGAUACCUUUAUGGACGAGCUUCAUCAGAGCUUGAGAGGGCAAUGGUGGUUCUCCAUGCCUGCGCCUAUUACGUUCUCUCCACAAUGCGUAGACAGCGGCUUGGAAGGCAUAACGGACGCAGAACAGCUGGUAUCUCUCCCGGUUCCGAUCAACGAGCAGAAUCUCAAUAUCAGACCAUUCUGCAGUGAACGAGUUCUGCAGUAUACCUUUGACAAGAUGCGCCCAAACUUGAGCUGAGAACGAGCACUCGAAGAAAAGGUGGUUCCUGGAUUCUGAAGAGUUCUUGCAUAGAACACAUUUUGUGUCCACGCCUUGACUCCAUAGAGAAACACGAUCCAUAGUAGAUAGUCUACACGAUCGACAGUUAUAUUUUAGUGAUUUUAAUUUGUAACAUUUUAACCCAUACAUCAUGAAAAGUAAGAUACACUUGUUUUCUAAAUUAUGAAUAUGAUAUCAAGAAUUCUAAAUUUUCAAGAAAUCACACAAUGUUCCAUAAAUCUCCGCCAAUAAUUUCAUUAGGGGUGGGCGUUCGGGUACCUAUUCGAGUUCGGUUCGGAUCAAAUCGGGUUUCGGGUUUAAAAAUUUCAGCCCCAUUCGGGUAUUUCUAAAUUUCGGUUCAGGUUCGGUUCGGAUCUUUGCGGGUUCGGUUCGGGUUCGGAUAACCCAUUUAAAUUAUUUUUUAAAUUUUAAUAUUCAUUAUAUGCUUAAAAAUUCUCAAAAUCUGUAAAACAAAUAAUAUAUUACAUAUAAAUUUGUAUAAUAUAUGUCAAAAUACCUAAAAUUAACAUCUAAAUUGGUUUGAUUUGAAUAUUUGGAUUCAAAAUCAAGACAUAUUUCAAGCAUUGUGGUGUUUUGAAGAUAUUGUAACUAUUUUAAACAUUUAUUUUUGACUAUUUAUAUAUAUUUUCAAGUAUUUUAGACAACUUAAAAGUAUAUUAUAUAUUUUGGAUGUUUUUAAUAUAUAUUAAAUCUAAAAAUAAGUAAUAUAUUUAGAAAUAUAAAUGUAUUUCGGUUACAUUCGGGUAUCUGAGAUAUUUUGGUUCGGGUCGGGUUCGGUUUCGGUUCUUUAGAUACCAAAAUUUUGAACCUGUUCGGAUAUUUAAUCAAUUUUGGUUCGGGUUUGUUACUACUUUUUUGGACCGGGUUCGGUUCGGUUCUUCGGAUCCGGGUUUUUUGCCCGGCCCUAAAUUUCAUAAUGUAUUAAUUCGUUUUAGGAGCAAAUUCUUUUAUUUAAAGAUAUAUCAGUUUCUUAGCAAAGCGAACGAUUUUAAUUAAACCAAAUCAAAGUGUUUGAUCUUUUUCAUAACUUUAUAUAUGACAGUCUUACUAAUUUUCUUCGAAACUAAAAAUCGGGUUUACCCACGUGUAGCUGCAGUUCCGGGUUAUAUCGACCGGACGUACUUCCGGGUCAACAUAAUAAACCAGGGGGACAGACAGAGAAAGGAGAAAGGAGAAAGAAAAUGAUGAAAGGUUAGGUAGAAAACGAGAAGCACUCAAGGGCCAGGCAAGACUGUGUGAAUUAUUUUCGUUGAAGCUUUGAGAAUCAUCAAUGCGUAUUCUGAGAUUGUUGUAGUUGUGCCAUCAGAAUUUUCGGCAAGACUGGAUUGUUUCUUCUAAAAUGAUAUUAAAAGAAACCCUGAUCUUGUGUUUAAUACAUUGCUGCUAGUUCCUAGAUAUGAAGAUUUGGUGAUGUCUUAGCUGAACAUUAAUAAUUUAGGAUACUUGGUGAAACUCUGGUUGCAUAUGGAUUCACCUCUCAUUUACACCGUUUGAAGUUCAUUAUAUACUCUGGGGCUAGGGCUUAUUCAUCCCAACUCGAUAUUAUGCAUGUACCAGCAAGUGGCAGGCAUUCAAAUUGGCAACACCCUCUGGUUUAGCUGACCCUCUAGGUGUAAUUGUCGUGGGUAAGUUGCAUUGGUUUCUUUGUUGAGGCAUGCUGGACAGAAGCAAGCUGUGAAGGCUGUUUUUUGGCAUGGCCUGUAUGUCUGCAAUGUAAAACACACAAUCUCCAAAAACAGAGGUUUUGAAAUAGCUAUUGCGUCCUUUAGUUUAUGACUUUGGUGAUAUGUUUGUCUUUUUUUGGCAGUCUUUACUUCCUGGAGCUGAGUUUGCCUGAGACAAUGAGCUUGUAAGUUUAAUUAUAUCUCAUGUGAUCAUUUGUGAUAUGCUUUUGCAAAAAUACAAUUUUCCUUCUUCUUUAUUAGACUCAUUCAAACAACCAAAGACCAAUUAUAGCUCUAGUUUAUUUUUAUCAUUUAUUAAUACCUAAACUUAGCAACAAAAAAUAGAGAAUCCUGUCUUGCUAAUCAAUGGCAAACCUUGAAACUCUAUCCUAUUCUCCUUACACAUUUUGUUAAUAAUAUAAAUACCUUCACCACCUUCACCUUCAUGCCAUCGCAUAAAGAAAAACACAAAACUAACAUCCACAGAAUAAACAAAAAAGAAAUAAUGGCAAUGAAGAAUAUCAACAACUUCUUUGUCGCCCUCUUUGUCUCGGUUGUGCUAGUGAGCUCAGCCACAGCGGCUACCAUGGAGUCUCCAGCACCAGCACCAGGUGCUUCCUCUGCCACCGUGGCUUUUCCGGUGGUUGGCUCCAUCGUUGCUGCAUCACUCUCCGCCUUCUUGGCUCUUCUCUUGCAGUAAAUAUAUAUAUAUUGAGGAGGGCCUUCUACGAGAACAAAACUCUUUUUUGUUAUGAUAGGUUCCUUAGAAUCUAUGCAAAAUAAUUUUGUCAAAUAACCCAAUUUGAUGUAUAUUCUCAUUGUAUAAGUUAUUACACUAAUACUUUUAUGAUAUGAUAAUAAUAAUAAUAAUAAUAGUGUCCUAUAUAAGCGCUCGUUGAACAGAUUUUAUGAAUCUGAUCAAUAAAUUUAUUGCUUUGUGAUUAAUAAUGUCUUUAAUACACAAAAUGGCUGCAUGAAAAAGUUGUGGUUAGUGUUUCUUUCUAAGGAUUGGUUUCAUUAUCAUUUUGCUUUCUCUUUACAUUCAUGAG